Molecule: small nucleolar RNA, 100 nt
Organism: Cebus imitator (Panamanian white-faced capuchin)
Lineage: Eukaryota; Metazoa; Chordata; Mammalia; Primates; Cebidae
Product: small nucleolar RNA U13
Exons: 1
Source: RefSeq, a predicted model, not a curated record
GUGAGUAUGUGUUUCUUACACAUGAUUAGGUUUUCACGAGCAUGUUUGAGAGUGCCUCCCUCAAAACGUGUUACAACAUCAGCACAUUACCCAUCUGACG